Molecule: ribosomal RNA, 253 nt
Filed under: uncultured bacterium
Lineage: Bacteria
Description: partial 16S ribosomal RNA
Rfam family: Bacterial small subunit ribosomal RNA
Source: RNAcentral
UACGGGGGGAGCAAGCGUUGUUCGGAUUUAUUGGGCGUAAAGGGCUCGUAGGCGGUCUGUUGCGUCGGGAGUGAAAACUUACAGCUUAACUGUGAGCGUGCUUUCGAUACGGGCAGACUUGAGGCAUUCAGGGGAGAACGGAAUUCCUGGUGUAGCGGUGAAAUUCGUAGAUAUCAGGAGGAACACCAGUGGCGAAGGCGGCUUCCUGGACACCAACUGACGCUGAGACGCGAAAGCGUGGGGAGCAAACAGG